Molecule: long non-coding RNA, 1875 nt
Filed under: Ananas comosus (pineapple)
Lineage: Eukaryota; Viridiplantae; Streptophyta; Magnoliopsida; Poales; Bromeliaceae
Description: long non-coding RNA (ACOM_LNC008843)
Source: RNAcentral
CAUAAUCGUCGACAUGUAUAGAUUUCGAUGUUGGAUAAUUUAUUCUAGCUCGAAUUCAUGGAUUAUAUGGUAGAUUGCAAAUCUGAAUUUGGAGCAUGUGGUAAUAAAUUGAGUAGGUUAUACAUGUUGGAUUUGGAAUUUGAAUUAGGAAAAAACUUGCGAUUUGGACCUAUCACUUGUUUAAACUGCCUGAUUUAGCUCUAGGAGCCGUUAUAAAAUUGUACUGUCGCUGUAUCUUCGAGACGAGUACUCCAGAUAGUUUAGAAUACAUUUACGCUCGUGCUGGUACGCCGAGUGAAAUUUUACAGGGUCGUUGGGCUGUUUCGGACUUUUGGGCGCCGUUGGGGUUGACGGUGGGCCCGGUUCGCCGUUUUGGCGUCAAAUUGUGCCGAGGGCACGUUACUUGUUGGUUGUUAGACCAGUUAGAGUCGGUUACUUGGACUUUGGCUUGACAGAGCCUGAUUGAGCUCGACAGAGAUACGCUGCAUACUCGGUUGGGUAGCGCCCACUAGUGCCACUCCGGAGACGGACUUUGUGCUUUCGCGUUGGUGUCGCUCAUGCCGGUUGGACUUGCUCUCCACGGACCAGUUAGUGUGGAGGUAGCUGGAUAGUCGCAACUGGGCAGGAACCGGUGUAUUCACAGUCCCAGGGACGGGUAGGUUUACAGUCCCGAUUGGAUUGGGUCAGAUUUGACAUUUCCUAUAGUUGGUUAGUGUAGAGCAUGAUAGUGUAGUGAUUGAUAGCGGUAGAGUCUACUUCCUGCUUUUCUGACUAUUCUUGCUCCCUUCUGUAGACUUAGUGGGUGGACCGAUGUUGUUUUGGGCGGUACCCACUGAGGACUACUUAUUUUUACAGUAGUUCUCACGCCCAGUUGUUACCCCUGUUUUGCAGAGCCUCAGGUUUCCGCUGCUGCGCCUUCCGCGUAUCAGGAUCGAGGCAAGGGCGUUGCGAGUUAGAGCCCUACCCGCCGAGCAGAGCUAGAGGCACCCUACUGCAGGUAGUUGUUUUAUUACGAGCUUAUGUACAUAGUACUUAACUCGCCAGUGCGAGUAACUCUGUAUUUCGAUUUUUGAACUAUGUAUAUGAAGCUCAGUUUGUUUAGCUUUUGUUUACUCGAGCAGCUCUAUACUACUGAUUGUAGUAUUAUAUAUUUACAGGUACAGCUGUCGCUUCGUAUACAGGAGAAAUUUCUUUGUAAAAGGCGGAUUUGUCGGCGUGCCCGGAGAACGAGACAUCCGGAGCGUGACAGAUUAAGUUGGUAUUAGAGCUUAGCAUUAGGUCGUUGGGACCUAGAAAUCCUAAGUUUGGCAAACCUUAGGAAGGCAAGACGCGAGAGGCGUAAUUUAUUGCGAAAGUCAAUGAUUAGUUGUUCUAACUCCUCCUUGAGUGGGGUGAGUGAUUGAAGGAGUAUCUGUUUUGGCCUGAGAAAUUAUGUUGGCUGCAGACGACAUAAUUUUGGAGGAAAACAGACACUGCCUUCCAGACUUUCAUUGAUUGGGUCGAGAGUGUUGUGUUGUAUCUGACCCCGAUUUGUUCUUUUCAGCUCUGUAUAGUCGCCGAGGUCGACCGUCGUUGCAGGAGCGUGCCCAGUUGGCGCGGGAUCGUGCGGGACCUCCUGAGAGACCUGAGCAGAUGGAGCAGAGUACUCGGCAGGAGCAGGGUGACAGACCGGAGGCGAGUGCACCUCCUGUUGUGGAGCUGAGUGCACGACCUGAGGCUAGCGCACCCCCUGAUUUGAGUGCUCAGUUGGCUGCCCUGACAGAGGUGACGAGGCAGCAGGGGGAGAUGUUGCAGAGGUUGUGUGAGAGGGUGGCUCAGACAUCGAGUACAGUACCGAGAGCACCAGAGCAGGCCAUUCCGCCUCCGACUACUCCA